UCUGUCAAAUAAAUAAAUAAAAUUUAAAAAAAAAAAAAAAAAAAAAAAAAAAAACAAGGCCCCUGCGUCCUGUUUGAUCUGCACCCGCUACUCUCCCCUCCCAUUUCUGAGUUUGUUCCCCGGAGAUUAGAAACACACUGUUGACUCCUGUCUCCUGUGCUCUGAAUUUGAAACAAACCCAGGAUCGGGUCUAACGUCAAAUUAGUGGGUAGCAGGCAAGUACCUAUCACAGGAGAUCACGGUCCCUUACCACACCCACGGCUCAUCUCUUUAAAAACAGAAAUAUUCUGACUAAGGCUAGGAGCGUCGGGCUUACCUGGGUUUCCUGCUCUGACUGCAGAGGUUUCCGGCGAGUUCUGAAGCGCUGGAAACCUUUCUGCUCUGAGAUUUCCGAAGAACCGUUUCAGCAAAACUUCAAGUCCCUGAAAGGAGAGUGAAUUCCGUGGGUACAGAGGAGUCAUGUUCAGUUCGAGUGAAAUUCAUUCAGCCUUUGUCCCGCAAAUGUUUCCUGCAGGCCUGUGUCGUGUCAGGCACGGCGGGCUCCCAAAGGGCCAGGAUUCCGUGGGGGACUCAGACCCACGUGGCCGAUGGGCACCUCGGGCCUGUGUGCUGCGUGUGGGCAUCUCCGCUCUGCACAACAUGGUGGUGUGACUGUGAACCCGCCAGUGUGGACUUCUAGGAAGGAGAACGAAGUACAACAGUCAUCUCAAGAAGAAGAAUCCACAUUCACAGUCCAGAAAGCAACAGGACAAAGUUACCGUCCGGAAAGUCAUCCACACAGACCAAUGAGGCGAACCUGUGCUCCCUGGCGUUGCCGGACUCCGGGCAGCACCCGACCUGGACCCAUCAGGUUUCCUUCUGGCUCGCGGUAUGAUCCGGUGUACUCGUGUUGUGCUCUAAUAUAGCAAUUUAAAACGAGGGAUUAAGAAAGAGGGAGGUGCCUGGGUGGCUCAGUGGGUUAAAGCCUCUGCCUUCGGCUCGGGUCAUGAUCCCAGGGUCCUGGGAUCAAGCCCCGCAUCGGGCUCUCUGCUCAGCGGGGAGCCUGCUU
Molecule: long non-coding RNA, 1048 nt
Organism: Mustela lutreola (European mink)
Lineage: Eukaryota; Metazoa; Chordata; Mammalia; Carnivora; Mustelidae
Exons: 3
Source: RefSeq, a predicted model, not a curated record